This 211-nucleotide microRNA precursor is filed under the name Oryza nivara. RNAcentral's name for it is "MIR812 microRNA precursor family". It matches the Rfam family "MIR812 microRNA precursor family". Lineage: Eukaryota; Viridiplantae; Streptophyta; Magnoliopsida; Poales; Poaceae. The record is from Rfam by way of RNAcentral.
AAAUAGUGUAGUUUUGCACUUUUUUAUAUCCAACAUGUUGACCGUUUGUUUUAUUUGAAAAUUUUUAUGAUUAAUAUUUUUAUUGUUAUUAAGAUGAUAAAACAUGAAUAGUGCUUUAUCUAUGACUAUAUAUUUUUAAAAAAUUUUUAUAAAUUUUUUAAAUAAGAUGGAUAGUCAAACGUUGUACACGAAACACACAAUUGCACUUAAA